This 326-nucleotide long non-coding RNA is filed under the name Fukomys damarensis (Damara mole-rat). RNAcentral describes it as "lncRNA (ENSFDAG00000031335.1)". The record is from RNAcentral. Lineage: Eukaryota; Metazoa; Chordata; Mammalia; Rodentia; Bathyergidae.
CAAAAUAAUUUUAUUCUGAUAGGGAAGGAUCUUUACUUCUCUGUUUGUAUUUAUUUGCCAUAAUCAUAAAUACAGCAUGACAGAUUAAAACACAAUGAGAAAUAUAAAAAAGGUGAAUGAGUGUAGAAAUUAUCAUAGUUAUAUAAAUGUGAAUGUUAAUGUUUCCUUAUAUUUUUAGAGCCAAAAGUGAAAAAGGAAGAGAAGCCAGAGCCGCAAGUUAAGAAGGAAACCAAACCAGCUUCUUCUGAAAAAAUACAAACACACAGUAUGUAUAUUUAUUUAAUUUAUAAGGUCUUUCUGAAAUCUUCUACAAGAAAAUAUUUACA